This 355-nucleotide ribosomal RNA is filed under the name uncultured bacterium. RNAcentral's name for it is "bacterial SSU rRNA". It matches the Rfam family "Bacterial small subunit ribosomal RNA", at positions 917 to 1267 of the family's 1533-position model. The record is from RNAcentral.
GGGCCCGCACAAGCGGUGGAGCAUGUGGUUUAAUUCGAUGCAACGCGAAGAACCUUACCAGGGUUUGACAUCCUGCGAAUUUUCUGGGAAACCGGAAAGUGCCUUCGGGAGCGCAGUGACAGGUGGUGCAUGGCUGUCGUCAGCUCGUGUCGUGAGAUGUUGGUUAAGUCCCAGCAACGAUGCGCAACCCACCGUUCUUUAGGUUGCCAGCAUUUUAGUUGGGCACUCUAGAGAGACCGCCGGUGAUAAACCGGAGGAAGGUGUGGAUGACGUCAAGUCAUCAUGCCCCUUACAUCCUGGGCUACACACGUACUACAAUGCUACGGACAAAGGGCAGCAAACUCGCGAGAGCUAG